RNAcentral lists this transfer RNA (73 nucleotides) under Cronartium ribicola 11-2. Its description in RNAcentral is "tRNA-Val (GAC) (tRNA-Val-GAC-27-1)". It matches the Rfam family "tRNA". Rfam says of the family: Transfer RNA (tRNA) molecules are approximately 80 nucleotides in length. Lineage: Eukaryota; Fungi; Basidiomycota; Pucciniomycetes; Pucciniales; Coleosporiaceae. The record is from RNAcentral.
GACUGGAUAGCCUAGUGGUAAAGGCAUCACAUUGACAAUGCUGAGGUCCCAGGUUCAAACUCUGGUCUAGUCA